GAUGAACGCUAGCUACAGGCUUAACACAUGCAAGUCGAGGGGUAGCCGGGUGGCAAUACCGCUGACGACCGGCGCACGGGUGAGUAACACGUACCCAACCUUCCCAUAACUCGGGGAUAGCCUUUCGAAAGAAAGAUUAAUACCCGAUAGUACUUAUAUAGGGCAUCCUACAUAAGUUAAAGAUUUAUUGGUUAUGGAUGGGGAUGCGUUCCAUUAGAUAGUUGGUGAGGUAACGGCUCACCAAGUCUUCGAUGGAUAGGGGUUCUGAGAGGAAGGUCCCCCACAUUGGUACUGAGACACGGACCAAACUCCUACGGGAGGCAGCAGUGAGGAAUAUUGGUCAAUGGGCGAGAGCCUGAACCAGCCAAGUAGCGUGAAGGAUGAAGGUCCUAUGGAUUGUAAACUUCUUUUAUAGUAGAAUAAAGUGAUCCACGUGUGGAUUUUUGUAUGUAUACUAUGAAUAAGGAUCGGCUAACUCCGUGCCAGCCGCCGCAGUAA
RNAcentral lists this ribosomal RNA (498 nucleotides) under uncultured bacterium. Its description in RNAcentral is "partial 16S ribosomal RNA". It matches the Rfam family "Bacterial small subunit ribosomal RNA", at positions 28 to 523 of the family's 1533-position model. The record is from RNAcentral.